This 253-nucleotide ribosomal RNA is filed under the name uncultured bacterium. RNAcentral's name for it is "partial 16S ribosomal RNA". It matches the Rfam family "Bacterial small subunit ribosomal RNA", at positions 524 to 776 of the family's 1533-position model. The record is from RNAcentral.
UACGAAGGGGGCUAGCGUUGCUCGGAAUCACUGGGCGUAAAGGGUGCGUAGGCGGGUCUUUAAGUCAGGGGUGAAAUCCUGGAGCUCAACUCCAGAACUGCCUUUGAUACUGAGGAUCUGGAGUUCGGGAGAGGUGAGUGGAACUGCGAGUGUAGAGGUGAAAUUCGUAGAUAUUCGCAAGAACACCAGUGGCGAAGGCGGCUCACUGGCCCGAUACUGACGCUGAGGCACGAAAGCGUGGGGAGCAAACAGG